ACGGAAGGCAGCAGUGGGGAAUAUUGCACAAUGGGGGAAACCCUGAUGCAGCGACGCCGCGUGAGUGAAGAAGUAUUUCGGUAUGUAAAGCUCUAUCAGCAGGAAAGAAAAUGACGGUACCUGACUAAGAAGCCCCGGCUAACUACGUGCCAGCAGCCGCGGUAAUACGUAGGGGGCAAGCGUUAUCCGGAUUUACUGGGCGUAAAGGGAGCGUAGACGGCUUUGCAAGUCUGAAGUGAAAGCCCGGGGCUCAACCCCGGAACUGCUUUGGAAACUGUAGAGCUAGAGUGCAGGAGAGGUAAGUGGAAUUCCUAGUGUAGCGGUGAAAUGCGUAGAUAUUAGGAGGAACACCAGUGGCGAAGGCGGCUUACUGGACUGUAACUGACGUUGAGGCUCGAAGGCGUGGGGAGCAAACAGGAUUAGAUACCCUGGUA
Molecule: ribosomal RNA, 434 nt
Filed under: uncultured Lachnospiraceae bacterium
Lineage: Bacteria; Bacillati; Bacillota; Clostridia; Lachnospirales; Lachnospiraceae
Description: partial 16S ribosomal RNA
Rfam family: Bacterial small subunit ribosomal RNA
Source: RNAcentral